AUUGAACGCUGGCGGCAUGCCUUACACAUGCAAGUCGAACGGCAGCACAGGGAGCUUGCUCCUGGGUGGCGAGUGGCGAACGGGUGAGUAAUGUAUCGGAACGUGCCCAGUAGUGGGGGAUAACUACUCGAAAGAGUGGCUAAUACCGCAUGAGAUCUCUGGAUGAAAGUGGGGGACCGCAAGGCCUCACGCUACUGGAGCGGCCGAUAUCAGAUUAGGUUGUUGGUGGGGUAAAGGCCUACCAAGCCUGCGAUCUGUAGCUGGUCUGAGAGGACGAUCAGCCACACUGGGACUGAGACACGGCCCAGACUCCUACGGGAGGCAGCAGUGGGGAAUAUUGGACAAUGGGCGAAAGCCUGAUCCAGCAAUGCCGCGUGUGUGAAGAAGGCCUGAGGGUUGUAAAGCACUUUCAAUCGUGAAGAAAAGUUAGCAGGCUAAUACCCUGUGACCUUGACGUUAACGAUACAAGAAGCACCGG
Molecule: ribosomal RNA, 478 nt
Filed under: uncultured bacterium
Lineage: Bacteria
Description: bacterial SSU rRNA
Rfam family: Bacterial small subunit ribosomal RNA
Source: RNAcentral